Molecule: long non-coding RNA, 745 nt
Organism: Fukomys damarensis (Damara mole-rat)
Lineage: Eukaryota; Metazoa; Chordata; Mammalia; Rodentia; Bathyergidae
Exons: 3
Source: RefSeq, a predicted model, not a curated record
GUCAGUCUGCCUAAGGAAGAAAUAUGCACCGGUUUCUUUCUUUUGUUUGGGUUUCAGAAAAAUUAAUAUAGUCGUUAAAAUAAUCAUUUAUUCAUACACUGGGGUUUUGUGGACCCCCACCCCUCAACCUAUUAACGUCGACAUCUUCUUUUGUAUAUCCUCCAAAAUGUCUACAGGAAAGAAAAUCAACAACACAAGUUUCUACCAAUGAUUGGAAUGACCUUGCCUUUUCCAUCUGAAAGCACGCACACACACACACAAAAUGAAAAGAUAAUAACUUGAAUUCUGGAAGUCUGGAAAACCUAAAUUAACAGAGCGACUCCAUAGUCAAACAACUGCAUUUUCCUAACAGAAAACAAAGAGAAUUCUGAAGGCGAAUCUGCAGGGAAAACAGACCCUCAUCUCAGCUUUCAGGGCAGAUCAAAGCCGGCUGCUUACUCCGCAUCCUGAGAACACACUCCCCGGUCCUGACGCAGCCAAAAUCCUGUGACUAAAAGCAACUUAAAUUUGGACGAUUAAAAAAAAAUAAGUUUCCCAAGUUUACAUUAAUCAUUCGGUGUAUCCGGAGACUCCAGGCCUAGCAAACCACGCAACAACUUCUUAAAAUAUCAGUCUCAAAAAAUACCACUAAAAGAAAAACCAAAAUUGCUGCAAGUUGCAAGCCUGCUACUCCAAGGAUCUGCCACGUGGAGAAGCCCCAAGCCGAAGGCUGCCUCUCUCAGGUCUGGGCUGAAUACACCAUUGC